RNAcentral lists this long non-coding RNA (1747 nucleotides) under Gallus gallus (chicken). Its description in RNAcentral is "long non-coding RNA NONGGAT002167". The record is from RNAcentral. Lineage: Eukaryota; Metazoa; Chordata; Aves; Galliformes; Phasianidae.
GUUUCUUUUGGUUUGUUUUCAGGGAGAGGAAACCGAGGAAAAACACAGCACCCCCAGCGAGAAGAGGUGCCCAGGCUCUGCCCUGACCCACUGCUGUUCAGCAGGAGGAAGCAAAGUGGUGUGACUGCUGUGGUUUCAGUUCUCACCCCACCUCGCUGCCCAGGAGCCAGGACCGUGGCUUAGGAGAGGAAAAGGUCCUUUGAGCCAACCUGCUCUGGGGGGCUCCCCCAGCCCUACGGAGGGGCUGGAAAGAUGAGGGCCUGGAAAAGCAGGGCACCCCUGCAAACCCCACUCCGGUGUAUUGAUAUUCAGUGCAGAGUGAGGGGUGUAAAUUCAGAGCUAUCUCCUCACCGCUCACCGUUUAUGCCGUUCAUUUCACAUAGAUGUCACUACUGCCUUAUAAGCACUCCUCCGAGCCAGCCGCUUAAAUGGACCCAGUGCAUUAUAGUAAUGGAGUAACUGUAUAAAAACAAUGAAAUCCAAUCUCUUUAAACUGAUUUGAUGUCUGCCUGAACCACAACAUUUCCUGCUAAUGGCUUCCUUCAUUUUGUAACCGUGAUCUCCACCUGAUCAGAUUACAGCUGUUUUUAAUUACAAAGCUAAUAGAGUUUGUAGGCAGUGUCGGGAGGAUGGCGCAUGCCCCAGGCAGAGAGGAGCUGGUGGGGGCUUGGGGUGGCUGUGCUGACAUUCAGCCUAUGGAGCAGACUGUCAUAACACCAGGAUGGGUACAGCUGGGAGGGAUGGGGACAGAAUAGGGAUGUUGGUGCCAUCUGACUGCUACAGCUGAUGGGGCAGGAAAAAGCACUGAGGGUGACUGACAGUGGAAAAAGUCCUCAAGAUUGAUGUCUUUCUUAUGGGAUAGCACAGCCAGCUGCAGGGUUGGAUUCCUCCAUCUCAGCCUGGAUGGUUGAGAUGGGGAGCAUCUGUGCGGCUCAUCCUGGCCCCCCAAAGGCCUCGUUUUGUCUGGCAGUUGGUUUGUUUGCUGACUGCUCCAUUGCUGUGGGUUAGGAGCACAGAGCAGAGUAGCCGUGGGGAGAGAAGCAGUCUGAAAUCUGUUCCCAGAUGGUGAUGGCCGGGGAUGUUUGAUGCCCAGAAAACACUGUGGUGUGUUAGAGAUGCUUCUGAGUAGCCCAUGCUGGUGUUUAGGAUUCGGCUGAUGUUGGGCUCAGCUGAAAAAUGUCAGCAGUGAAGGAGAGCAGCAUCUCCAGCUCGCAGCCAAGUCCUGCUGUGAGAAUCUCCCAUUUGGGGUGCUGGAGUUGCUCACGUGCCCACCAAGGCACAGUGGUGAGCGAUCCACUCCCAGCAGCUUGGGCAAGGGGAGGACAAGGCAGGAGGAACCCCAGAGCACCACGGGGAAGUUCAUGCUGCUGAGACCUGCUUUGGAGCUGCUCCCACCGCCUGCUUCAUCGCACUGCUGAGGACGUUCAUCCUCCUCUGCCUUGGUGCAGGAGCUGCAUGUGCCAGUGACACCAACAUGAGCUGCCAAAACACCAAACACCAACAGCCAGUCCUGCCCGGGUGAGCGGAGCACGAGGACACACCAUCUCCUCCCCAUAACUUGUGCACAGGCACUCUGAGGUUAGCGAGAGCGUUCUCAGAGCAAACCCCAUCCUACACGAGCCGUUGCUGGUGAGACCCACCUGCGUGCGCUGCGCUGUGGAGCAGGAUCAGCACUGCCAUCCAGGCUCUGCCUGUGCCCGAUGCACAAAACCGUGUGUUUGAGGAAGUACUUCUGGAGUUUGAAAAG